AUUAUUAUUAUUAUUAUUAUGUGUGUGAAGCUUUGGAUGGGCGCUUGUCUCAAUUGAAAAUUGUUUGUUGAAAUUUGCGUUUGAAUAAGGAAAAUGUCCAUUUUACAACUAGGAAGAUGUUGCUGAAUUUUUGGCAAGAAUUGGAAAUGGUUAAAAUUUUUGCAGUAGAAUUAAUAAUUAGAAAGUAUAAAGUAGAAAUGUCAAUUAUAAUUGAUUUGAGAGCUAUGUGGACCUGAUCCUCCAUUUUGUAAUGGAAGUACGUAGGUAGCCUUCGGGUGCGGUCCAAAGUAGGUUAAUUUUAGUUUUCUUUAUUUUCAAAGUUUUCUUUCUAUUUCUUUAAAUUUUGGACCUGGAAUAAUAUUUAUGAAUUUUCCUUGUUAGUUAUUUAUGUAUCUCAAGAGAGUUAAGAUAUUACAAUAUAAAUUAAAUAGAUUUUCCUUGUUAGUUGUAUAACAUGAAAUGGUGGAUUGGUUAUGACAAACUUAAUAUCUACUUGAUCAACGAAGUUUGAAUAUGGAUAACAUUCAUUAGUAAAAAAAUAUAGACACACACCUCUUGCUUCAACUCAUGAGCAU
Molecule: unclassified non-coding RNA, 575 nt
Filed under: Hevea brasiliensis (rubber tree)
Lineage: Eukaryota; Viridiplantae; Streptophyta; Magnoliopsida; Malpighiales; Euphorbiaceae
Source: RNAcentral